GACGAACGCUGGCGGCGUGCUUAACACAUGCAAGUCGAACGGAAAGGCCCUGCUUUUGUGGGGUGCUCGAGUGGCGAACGGGUGAGUAACACGUGAGUAACCUGCCCUUGACUUUGGGAUAACUUCAGGAAACUGGGGCUAAUACCGGAUAGGAGCUCCUGCUGCAUGGUGGGGGUUGGAAAGUUUCGGCGGUUGGGGAUGGACUCGCGGCUUAUCAGCUUGUUGGUGGGGUAGUGGCUUACCAAGGCUUUGACGGGUAGCCGGCCUGAGAGGGUGACCGGCCACAUUGGGACUGAGAUACGGCCCAGACUCCUACGGGAGGCAGCAGUGGGGAAUAUUGCACAAUGGGCGGAAGCCUGAUGCAGCAACGCCGCGUGCGGGAUGACGGCCUUCGGGUUGUAAACCGCUUUCGCCUGUGACGAAGCGUGAGUGACGGUAAUGGGUAAAGAAACACCGGCUAACUACGUG
RNAcentral lists this ribosomal RNA (468 nucleotides) under uncultured bacterium. Its description in RNAcentral is "partial 16S ribosomal RNA". It matches the Rfam family "Bacterial small subunit ribosomal RNA", at positions 28 to 507 of the family's 1533-position model. The record is from RNAcentral.